This 513-nucleotide ribosomal RNA is filed under the name uncultured bacterium. RNAcentral describes it as "bacterial SSU rRNA". It matches the Rfam family "Bacterial small subunit ribosomal RNA", at positions 28 to 501 of the family's 1533-position model. The record is from RNAcentral.
GACGAACGCUGGGGCGUGCCUAAUACAUGCAAGUCGAACGCACUCUCGUUUAGAUUGAAGGAGCUUGCUCCUGAUUGAUAAACAUUUGAGUGAGUGGCGGACGGGUGAGUAACACGUGGGUAACCUGCCCUAAAGUGGGGAUAACAUUUGGAAACAGAUGCUAAUACCGCAUAAAACCUAACACCGCAUGGUGUAGGGUUGAAAGAUGGUUUCGGCUAUCACUUUAGGAUGGACCCGCGGUGCAUUAGUUAGUUGGUGAGGUAAAGGCUCACCAAGACCGUGAUGCAUAGCCGACCUGAGAGGGUAAUCGGCCACACUGGGACUGAGACACGGCCCAGACUCCUACGGGAGCAGCAGUAGGGAAUCUUCCACAAUGGACGAAAGUCUGAUGGAGCAACGCCGCGUGAGUGAAGAAGGUUUUCGGAUCGUAAAACUCUGUUGUUGGAGAAGGAAUGUAUCUGAUAGUAACUGAUCAGGUAGUGACGGUAUCCGAACCAGAAAGCCACGGCUAAC